CAGCUUUCAAAGCAGCAGAAGAACAUCCAAUAUAUACCAUAGUUUCCCCCUUAUCUGUGGUUUCACUUUCUGUGGUUUGAGUUACCCACAAGUCAACCACAGUCUGGAAGCAGAUGGUCCAUGGGCUGACACAUCAUUGGAAGAUCAAAAGCAGCCAAACGCUACGAUCCCUGUAUCACAGUGCCUAAGUCAUUCACCUCCUUUCAUCUCAUCAUGUAGGCAUUUUAUCAUCUAACACCAUCACGAAAGGGAAAAGGGCAAGUAUUUGUAUUCUUUCAAGAUAAGUACGUGAAGGGAUUUGAAAGGACAGAAAAGAAAAACAUCGCAAAAUCUUAUUGCAAAAUCAAUGAGUGAUCAAAAAUUGCCAAAGAUUACUCGGGUCUGCCUUGUUAAGAAGAGAUGUCAGUGCCUAUAUUUUGUUUCAUAUGGACGGUGCCUCACCAAGUGCCACCACACUGGCCUCCCUAGGUUUCUAAAAUUCCCAUCAUCAAAGCCAACCACGUUGAAAGUAUUAUCUCUAGAAAGCCACCGUUCAAAAGCCAUAUCCACUUUUGAAAUGAGAAGAAAGGAAGAGCCUUCUCUCCAUGUAAGGAAUCUUCAAAUCACUCCUAAC
Molecule: non-coding RNA, 613 nt
Organism: Leptonychotes weddellii (Weddell seal)
Lineage: Eukaryota; Metazoa; Chordata; Mammalia; Carnivora; Phocidae
Source: RefSeq, a predicted model, not a curated record